GAUCCUGGCUCAGGAUGAACGCUAGCGACAGGCUUAACACAUGCAAGUCGAGGGGCAGCGGGGGUAGCAAUACCCGCCGGCGACCGGCGCACGGGUGAGUAACGCGUAUGCAACUUACCUAUCAGAGGGGGAUAACCCGGCGAAAGUCGGACUAAUACCGCAUGAAGCAGGGGCCCCGCAUGGGGAGUAUUUGCUAAAGAUUCAUCGCUGAUAGAUAGGCAUGCGUUCCAUUAGGCUGUUGGG
RNAcentral lists this ribosomal RNA (243 nucleotides) under uncultured bacterium. RNAcentral describes it as "partial 16S ribosomal RNA". It matches the Rfam family "Bacterial small subunit ribosomal RNA", at positions 15 to 253 of the family's 1533-position model. The record is from RNAcentral.